Molecule: ribosomal RNA, 271 nt
Filed under: uncultured archaeon
Lineage: Archaea
Description: partial 16S ribosomal RNA
Rfam family: Archaeal small subunit ribosomal RNA
Source: RNAcentral
CAGCGUCACGAGUGGCAAUCGUAUUUAUUGGGUCUAAAGCGUCCGUAGCCGGUUUGAUAAGUCUUUCGUGAAAUCGUUGUGCUUAACGCAACGCUAUGCGAGAGAGACUGUCAGACGUGGAAUUGGGAUGAGUCAGAGGUAUUCUGGGGGGAGCGGUAAAAUGCUAUAAUCCUCAGAGGACCACCAGUGGCGAAAGCGUCUGACUAGAACAAAUUCGACGGUGAGGGACGAAAGCCAGGGGAGCAAAACGGAUUAGAUACCCGAGUAGUCC